This 437-nucleotide ribosomal RNA is filed under the name uncultured bacterium. RNAcentral's name for it is "partial 16S ribosomal RNA". It matches the Rfam family "Bacterial small subunit ribosomal RNA", at positions 29 to 507 of the family's 1533-position model. The record is from RNAcentral.
AGCGAACGCUGGCGGCAGGCUUAACACAUGCAAGUCGAGCGGGCAUCCCGGUGGUGUCAGCGGCAGACGGGUGAGUAACGCGUGGGAACGUGCCCUUCGGUUCGGAAUAACUCAGGGAAACUUGAGCUAAUACCGGAUACGUGCGAGAGCAGAAAGGUUUAUCUGCCGAAGGAUCGGCCCGCGUCUGAUUAGCUAGUUGGUGAGGUUAUGGCUCACCAAGGCGACGAUCCGUAGCUGGUCUGAGAGGAUGAUGAGCCACACUGGGACUGAGACACGGCCCCGACUCCUACGGGAGGCAGCAGUGGGGAAUAUUGGACCAUGGGGGCAACCCUGAUCCAGCCAUGCCGCGUGAGUGAUGACGGCCUUAGGGUUGUAAAGCUCUUUUCUCCGGGACGAUAAUGACGGUACCGGAUGAAUAAGCCCCGGCUAACUUCGUG